RNAcentral lists this ribosomal RNA (484 nucleotides) under uncultured bacterium. RNAcentral's name for it is "partial 16S ribosomal RNA". It matches the Rfam family "Bacterial small subunit ribosomal RNA", at positions 30 to 507 of the family's 1533-position model. The record is from RNAcentral.
AUUGAACGCUGGCGGCAGGCCUAACACAUGCAAGUCGAGCGGCUGCACGGUACUAGCUCCUGGUUUCAGCUGGCGACGGGCGGGUGAGUCAUAGGAAUCUGCCUGGCCUUUGUGUCUAAGGUCCGGAAGCGGGCGCUAAUACCGCAUACGCCCAUAGGGAGAAAGGGUGGGAUCUUCGGACCUCACGCUAUCAGAUGAGCCUAGGUCGGAUUAGCUAGUUGGUGGGGUAAAGGCCUACCAAGGCGACGAUCCGUAGCUGGUCUGAGAGGAUGAUCAGCCACACUGGAACUGAGACACGGUCCAGACUCCUACGGGAGGCAGCAGUGGGGAAUAUUGGACAAUGGGCGAAAGCCUGAUCCAGCCAUGCCGCGUGUGUGAAGAAGGUCUUCGGAUUGUAAAGCCCUUUUAGUGGGGAGGAAGAGCAGUAGGUUAAUACCUUGCUGUUUUGACGGUACCAAAAGAAUAAGCACCGGCUAACUUCGUG